CCUACGGGCGGCUGCAGUCGAGAAUCAUUCACAAUGGGGGAAACCCUGAUGGUGCGACGCCGCGUGAGCGAUGAAGUAUUUCGGUAUGUAAAGCUCUAUCAGCAGGGAAGAAAAUGACGGUACCUGACUAAGAAGCCCCGGCUAACUACGUGCCAGCAGCCGCGGUCAUACGUAGGGGGCAAGCGUUAUCCGGAUUUACUGGGUGUAAAGGGAGCGUAGACGGCUGUGCAAGGCAGAUGGGAAAGCCCGGGGCUCAACCCCGCGACUGCAUUUGGAACUGUGUGGCCGGAGUGUCGGAGAGGGAGGCGGAAUUUCUAGGGGAGCGGUGAAAUGCGUAGAUAUUAGGAGGAAAACCAGUGGCGAAGGCGGCGUGCUGGACGAUGACUGACGUUGAGGCUAGAAAGCGUGGGGAGCAAACAGGAUUAGAUAACCCUAGUAGUC
This 441-nucleotide ribosomal RNA is filed under the name uncultured bacterium. RNAcentral's name for it is "partial 16S ribosomal RNA". It matches the Rfam family "Bacterial small subunit ribosomal RNA", at positions 338 to 795 of the family's 1533-position model. The record is from RNAcentral.